RNAcentral lists this ribosomal RNA (2904 nucleotides) under Escherichia coli. RNAcentral's name for it is "23S ribosomal RNA". It matches the Rfam family "Bacterial large subunit ribosomal RNA". The record is from RNAcentral. Lineage: Bacteria; Pseudomonadati; Pseudomonadota; Gammaproteobacteria; Enterobacterales; Enterobacteriaceae.
GGUUAAGCGACUAAGCGUACACGGUGGAUGCCCUGGCAGUCAGAGGCGAUGAAGGACGUGCUAAUCUGCGAUAAGCGUCGGUAAGGUGAUAUGAACCGUUAUAACCGGCGAUUUCCGAAUGGGGAAACCCAGUGUGUUUCGACACACUAUCAUUAACUGAAUCCAUAGGUUAAUGAGGCGAACCGGGGGAACUGAAACAUCUAAGUACCCCGAGGAAAAGAAAUCAACCGAGAUUCCCCCAGUAGCGGCGAGCGAACGGGGAGCAGCCCAGAGCCUGAAUCAGUGUGUGUGUUAGUGGAAGCGUCUGGAAAGGCGCGCGAUACAGGGUGACAGCCCCGUACACAAAAAUGCACAUGCUGUGAGCUCGAUGAGUAGGGCGGGACACGUGGUAUCCUGUCUGAAUAUGGGGGGACCAUCCUCCAAGGCUAAAUACUCCUGACUGACCGAUAGUGAACCAGUACCGUGAGGGAAAGGCGAAAAGAACCCCGGCGAGGGGAGUGAAAAAGAACCUGAAACCGUGUACGUACAAGCAGUGGGAGCACGCUUCGGCGUGUGACUGCGUACCUUUUGUAUAAUGGGUCAGCGACUUAUAUUCUGUAGCAAGGUUAACCGAAUAGGGGAGCCGAAGGGAAACCGAGUCUUAACUGGGCGUUAAGUUGCAGGGUAUAGACCCGAAACCCGGUGAUCUAGCCAUGGGCAGGUUGAAGGUUGGGUAACACUAACUGGAGGACCGAACCGACUAAUGUUGAAAAAUUAGCGGAUGACUUGUGGCUGGGGGUGAAAGGCCAAUCAAACCGGGAGAUAGCUGGUUCUCCCCGAAAGCUAUUUAGGUAGCGCCUCGUGAAUUCAUCUCCGGGGGUAGAGCACUGUUUCGGCAAGGGGGUCAUCCCGACUUACCAACCCGAUGCAAACUGCGAAUACCGGAGAAUGUUAUCACGGGAGACACACGGCGGGUGCUAACGUCCGUCGUGAAGAGGGAAACAACCCAGACCGCCAGCUAAGGUCCCAAAGUCAUGGUUAAGUGGGAAACGAUGUGGGAAGGCCCAGACAGCCAGGAUGUUGGCUUAGAAGCAGCCAUCAUUUAAAGAAAGCGUAAUAGCUCACUGGUCGAGUCGGCCUGCGCGGAAGAUGUAACGGGGCUAAACCAUGCACCGAAGCUGCGGCAGCGACGCUGAUGCGUUGUUGGGUAGGGGAGCGUUCUGUAAGCCUGCGAAGGUGUGCUGUGAGGCAUGCUGGAGGUAUCAGAAGUGCGAAUGCUGACAUAAGUAACGAUAAAGCGGGUGAAAAGCCCGCUCGCCGGAAGACCAAGGGUUCCUGUCCAACGUUAAUCGGGGCAGGGUGAGUCGACCCCUAAGGCGAGGCCGAAAGGCGUAGUCGAUGGGAAACAGGUUAAUAUUCCUGUACUUGGUGUUACUGCGAAGGGGGGACGGAGAAGGCUAUGUUGGCCGGGCGACGGUUGUCCCGGUUUAAGCAUGUAGGCUGGUUUUCCAGGCAAAUCCGGAAAAUCAAGGCUGAGGCGUGAUGACGAGGCACUACGGUGCUGAAGCAACAAAUGCCCUGCUUCCAGGAAAAGCCUCUAAGCAUCAGGUAACAUCAAAUCGUACCCCAAACCGACACAGGUGGUCAGGUAGAGAAUACCAAGGCGCUUGAGAGAACUCGGGUGAAGGAACUAGGCAAAAUGGUGCCGUAACUUCGGGAGAAGGCACGCUGAUAUGUAGGUGAGGUCCCUCGCGGAUGGAGCUGAAAUCAGUCGAAGAUACCAGCUGGCUGCAACUGUUUAUUAAAAACACAGCACUGUGCAAACACGAAAGUGGACGUAUACGGUGUGACGCCUGCCCGGUGCCGGAAGGUUAAUUGAUGGGGUUAGCGCAAGCGAAGCUCUUGAUCGAAGCCCCGGUAAACGGCGGCCGUAACUAUAACGGUCCUAAGGUAGCGAAAUUCCUUGUCGGGUAAGUUCCGACCUGCACGAAUGGCGUAAUGAUGGCCAGGCUGUCUCCACCCGAGACUCAGUGAAAUUGAACUCGCUGUGAAGAUGCAGUGUACCCGCGGCAAGACGGAAAGACCCCGUGAACCUUUACUAUAGCUUGACACUGAACAUUGAGCCUUGAUGUGUAGGAUAGGUGGGAGGCUUAGAAGUGUGGACGCCAGUCUGCAUGGAGCCGACCUUGAAAUACCACCCUUUAAUGUUUGAUGUUCUAACGUUGACCCGUAAUCCGGGUUGCGGACAGUGUCUGGUGGGUAGUUUGACUGGGGCGGUCUCCUCCUAAAGAGUAACGGAGGAGCACGAAGGUUGGCUAAUCCUGGUCGGACAUCAGGAGGUUAGUGCAAUGGCAUAAGCCAGCUUGACUGCGAGCGUGACGGCGCGAGCAGGUGCGAAAGCAGGUCAUAGUGAUCCGGUGGUUCUGAAUGGAAGGGCCAUCGCUCAACGGAUAAAAGGUACUCCGGGGAUAACAGGCUGAUACCGCCCAAGAGUUCAUAUCGACGGCGGUGUUUGGCACCUCGAUGUCGGCUCAUCACAUCCUGGGGCUGAAGUAGGUCCCAAGGGUAUGGCUGUUCGCCAUUUAAAGUGGUACGCGAGCUGGGUUUAGAACGUCGUGAGACAGUUCGGUCCCUAUCUGCCGUGGGCGCUGGAGAACUGAGGGGGGCUGCUCCUAGUACGAGAGGACCGGAGUGGACGCAUCACUGGUGUUCGGGUUGUCAUGCCAAUGGCACUGCCCGGUAGCUAAAUGCGGAAGAGAUAAGUGCUGAAAGCAUCUAAGCACGAAACUUGCCCCGAGAUGAGUUCUCCCUGACCCUUUAAGGGUCCUGAAGGAACGUUGAAGACGACGACGUUGAUAGGCCGGGUGUGUAAGCGCAGCGAUGCGUUGAGCUAACCGGUACUAAUGAACCGUGAGGCUUAACCUU